GUUUUAGUAGUUUAAUAAAAACACUGGUCUUGUAAGUCAGUAUUAAGAAUACCCGCUUCUAGAACU
Molecule: transfer RNA, 66 nt
Filed under: Ruspolia lineosa
Lineage: Eukaryota; Metazoa; Arthropoda; Insecta; Orthoptera; Tettigoniidae
Description: tRNA-Thr
Rfam family: tRNA
About the family: Transfer RNA (tRNA) molecules are approximately 80 nucleotides in length. Their secondary structure includes four short double-helical elements and three loops (D, anti-codon, and T loops). Further hydrogen bonds mediate the characteristic L-shaped molecular structure. tRNAs have two regions of fundamental functional importance: the anti-codon, which is responsible for specific mRNA codon recognition, and the 3' end, to which the tRNAs corresponding amino acid is attached (by aminoacyl-tRNA synthetases). tRNAs cope with the degeneracy of the genetic code in two manners: having more than one tRNA (with a specific anti-codon) for a particular amino acid; and 'wobble' base-pairing, i.e. permitting non-standard base-pairing at the 3rd anti-codon position.
Source: RNAcentral